UGGCGAGUUUGAUCCUGGCUCAGGAUAAACGCUGGCGGCGUGCCUAACACAUGCAAGUCGAACGCCCUUAGCAAUAAGGGAGUGGCGGACGGGUGAGCAACACGUGGGUUAUCUGCCUCCGGGUGAGGAAUACCGGCGAGAAAUCGCCGACAAUACCGCAUACGCUCGGCAACGAGCAAAGCCGGAAACGGCGCCGGGAGAUGAGCCUGCGCUCGAUUAGUUGGUUGGUGGAGUAAUGGCCUACCAAGGCGACGAUCGAUAGCUGGUCUGAGAGGACGAUCAGCCACACUGGGAUUGAGAACGGCCCAGACUCCUACGGGGGGCAGCAGUGAGGAAUUUUCGUCAAUGGGGGCAACCCUGAACGAGCAACGCCGCGUGCAGGAUGACGGCCUUCGGGUUGUAAACUGCUUUUCUCUGGGACGAGAACGGACGGUACCAGAGGAAUCAGCCUCGGCUAACUACGUGCCAGCAGCCGCGGUAAUACGUAGGAGGCAAGCGUUGUCCGGAGUUACUGGGCGUAAAGCGCACGCAGGCGGUCAGAUAAGUCUGUGGUGACAGUCGUCGGCUCAACUGACGAAGGACGAUGGAAACUGUCUGACUUGAGGGCUUCAGAGGGACACGGAAUUCCGGGUGGAGUGGUGAAAUGCGUAGAUAUCCGGAGGAACACCAAUGGCGAAGGCAGUGUCCUGGGAAGCACCUGACGCUCAGGUGCGAAAGCUAGGGGAGCGAACAGGAUUAGAUACCCUGGUAGUCCUAGCCGUAAACGAUGACCACUAGACGUUGGGGGUAUCGACCCCUUCAGUGUCGCAGUUAACACAGUAAGUGGUCCGCCUGGGGAGUACGGUCGCAAGAUUAAAACUCAAAGGAAUUGACGGGGACCCGCACAAGCAGCGGAGCGUGUGGUUUAAUUCGAUGCAACGCGAAGAACCUUACCAAGGCUUGACAUGAACUUGCACCAGCCGUAACGGGCUGUCUCUUCGGAGCGGGUUCACAGGUGCUGCAUGGCUGUCGUCAGCUCGUGUCGUGAGAUGUUGGGUUAAGUCCCGCAACGAGCGCAACCCCUGUCGUUAGUUGAACUUCUCUAACGAAACUGCCAUUUCAAAAUGGAGGAAGGCGGGGAUGACGUCAAGUCAGCACGGCCCUUACGCCUUGGGCGACACACACGCUACAAUGGUCAGGACAAAGAGUGGCCAACCCGCGAGGGGAGCUAAUCUCGUCAAACCUGGCCUCAGUUCAGAUUGGAGGCUGCAACCCGCCUCCAUGAAGUUGGAGUUGCUAGUAACCGUAGGUCAGCACACUACGGUGAAUACGUUCCCGGGUCUUGUACACACCGCCCGUCACACCACGAAAGUUGGCAACACCUGAAGCCGCUGGGCUAACCCUUCGGGGGGGCAAGCGUCGAGGGUGGGGUCAGUGAUUGGGGUGAAGUCGUAACAAGGUAGCCGUACCGGAAGGUGCGGCUGGAUCACCUCCUUU
RNAcentral lists this ribosomal RNA (1476 nucleotides) under Dictyobacter formicarum. RNAcentral's name for it is "bacterial SSU rRNA". It matches the Rfam family "Bacterial small subunit ribosomal RNA". Lineage: Bacteria; Bacillati; Chloroflexota; Ktedonobacteria; Ktedonobacterales; Dictyobacteraceae. The record is from RNAcentral.